This 497-nucleotide ribosomal RNA is filed under the name uncultured bacterium. RNAcentral describes it as "partial 16S ribosomal RNA". It matches the Rfam family "Bacterial small subunit ribosomal RNA", at positions 28 to 507 of the family's 1533-position model. The record is from RNAcentral.
GAUGAACGCUGGCGGCGUGCCUAAUACAUGCAAGUCGAGCGAACGGACGAGAAGCUUGCUUCUCUGAUGUUAGCGGCGGACGGGUGAGUAACACGUGGAUAACCUACCUAUAAGACUGGGAUAACUUCGGGAAACCGGCGCUAAUACCGGAUGAUCUUUUGAACCGCAUGGUUCAAAAGUGAAAGACGGUCUUGCUGUCACUUAUAGCUGGAUCCGCGCUGCAUUAGCUAGUUGUUAGGGUAACGGCUUACCAAGGCAACCAUGCCUAGACGACGGGAGCGGGUGGUCGGCCGCACGAGAACGUGGACGGGGACCAUACGACUACGGGAGGCAGCAGUAGCGAAUCGUCCGCAGUGGUCGAGAGUCUGGCGGAGCAGCGCGGCGUGUGUGAUAAAGGUGUUCGGAUCGUAAAGCUGUGUUAUUGGUGAAGAACAGAUGUGGAAGUAACUGAGCAGAGCGUGACGGUAACUAGUCAAAAAGCCACGGCUAACUACGUG